GGUGGAUGAUGUGGUUUAAUUCGAUGCAACGCGAAAACCUUACCCACCUUUGACAUGGCAGGAAUCCUGAAGAGAUUUGGGAGUGCUCGAAAGAGAACCUGCACACAGGUGCUGCAUGGCUGUCGUCAGCUCGUGUCGUGAGAUGUUGGGUUAAGUCCCGCCAACGAGCGCAACCCUUGCCAUUAGUUGCUACGAAAGGGCACUCUAAUGGGACUGCCGGUGACAAACCGGAGGAAGGUGGGGAUGACGUCAAGUCCUCAUGGCCCUUAUAGGUGGGGCUACACACGUCAUACAAUGGCCGGUACAGAGGGUAGCCAACCCGCGAGGGGGAGCCAAUCCCACAAAGCCGGUCGUAGUCCGGAUCGCAGUCUGCAACUCGACUGCGUGAAGUCGGAAUCGCUAGUAAUCGCGGAUCAGCAUGUCGCGGUGAAUACGUUCCCGGGUCUU
Molecule: ribosomal RNA, 447 nt
Filed under: uncultured Allobrachymonas sp.
Lineage: Bacteria; Pseudomonadati; Pseudomonadota; Betaproteobacteria; Burkholderiales; Comamonadaceae
Description: bacterial SSU rRNA
Rfam family: Bacterial small subunit ribosomal RNA
Source: RNAcentral